AUACGUAGGUGGCAAGCGUUAUCCGGAAUUAUUGGGCGUAAAGAGGGAGCAGGCGGCAGCAAGGGUCUGUGGUGAAAGCCUGAAGCUUAACUUCAGUAAGCCAUAGAAACCAGGCAGCUAGAGUGCAGGAGAGGAUCGUGGAAUUCCAUGAGUAGCGGUGAAAUGCGUAGAUAUAUGGAGGACCAACAGUGGCGAAGGCGACGAUCUGGCCUGCAACUGACGCUCAGUCCCGAAAGCGUGGGGAGCAAAUAGGAUUAGAUACCCUAGUAGUCCACGCCGUAAACGAUGAGUACUAAGUGUUGGAUGUCAAAGUUCAGUGCUGCAGUUAACGCAAUAAGUACUCCGCCUGAGUAGUACGUUCGCAAGAAUGAAACUCAAAUGAAUUGACGGGG
Molecule: ribosomal RNA, 392 nt
Filed under: uncultured bacterium
Lineage: Bacteria
Description: partial 16S ribosomal RNA
Rfam family: Bacterial small subunit ribosomal RNA
Source: RNAcentral